UACGUAGGGGGCAAGCGUUGUCCGGAAUCAUUGGGCGUAAAGAGCGUGUAGGCGGUCCGGUCAGUCGGUUGUGAAAGUCAAGGGCUCAACCCUUGAAUGCCGGCCGAUACUGCCGGGCUAGAGUCCGGAAGAGGUGAGUGGAAUUCCUGGUGUAGCGGUGAAAUGCGCAGAUAUCAGGAGGAACACCGAUGGCGAAGGCAGCUCGCUGGGACGUUACUGACACUGAGGCGCGAAAGCGUGGGGAGCGAACAGG
This 253-nucleotide ribosomal RNA is filed under the name uncultured bacterium. RNAcentral's name for it is "partial 16S ribosomal RNA". It matches the Rfam family "Bacterial small subunit ribosomal RNA", at positions 524 to 776 of the family's 1533-position model. The record is from RNAcentral.